Long non-coding RNA from Protobothrops mucrosquamatus (brown spotted pit viper), 681 nucleotides. RefSeq lists it as uncharacterized. The transcript has 3 exons. The record is from RefSeq and is a predicted model, not a curated record. Lineage: Eukaryota; Metazoa; Chordata; Lepidosauria; Squamata; Viperidae.
AAGAGAACCAGAUCCUUGGAGAGUGAGAAGAGAGACACAAGGAGAACGCCCCCAUGAACCAGAAUCCACCGCCAGCAUAGAAGAAAAACUGCGCCAGCUUCAGGAGGAACGGAUGUGCAAAGUGUGCAUGGACAAAGACGUGUCCAUUGUGCUGGUUCCUUGUGGCCACUUAGUGGUGUGUGCCGAAUGUGCUCCUAAUCUGAGCCGCUGCCCCAUCUGCAGAGGGGACAUCCGGGACAGUAUGAAGGCCUUCCUGUCCUGACCUGAAAAGCUGCCCGUUUCCAAAAAAAAAAGACUCGCUUCUUUCCUCUGCAUCCUACAACGAACCCAACAAUUUUGCCAAACUUCUGGAUGUAGCUUCUUGGAGAUCUCCUCCUAACUCCGGUGAUUUCAAAAGACGGAAGAUAAAACCAUUUCGAGGUUUCUCUUGUUGAGAGACUGGCAGCUUCCUAUGGGGAGGAGAGGGGGGGGAGGAAUUAUUUAAAGCAUAUUUGCAAACGCUCGUCCCAAUUCUUAACUUGUAUGAGAUUUUAAAGCAGAUCAUUUUGAGUGAAAAGGAUAAUGUACAAUGUGUGCGUUUUGGACUUGCCUUGUUUUUUUUUUUAAUUUUAAAGAGAAUAAAAUAACUUUCUGGAAUCAUUUCUUAACUGUUUCUGUAAGAAUGUAUUGAUUUAGUACGGC